Dipodomys ordii (Ord's kangaroo rat) is the source of this 70-nucleotide non-coding RNA. Lineage: Eukaryota; Metazoa; Chordata; Mammalia; Rodentia; Heteromyidae. The record is from Rfam.
GGGAAGGUGGCUCAGUGGUAGAGUGCUUGUCUUGCAUCCAUGAGGCCCUGGGUUCGAUUCCUCAGACCCA